UGUUUGUCGGCGUUUCAAUUUUUUAGCAGGUGAAUCAGUUCACUUGUUUUCGUUCUUGGUGGCUGCUGUCUAGGUGAAACAGGCUACAGAGGUUGUUAGUGCGUUCAACUUUAGUAUUCCGUUACUGUAUACAAUUAUGUUCAAUUAUAAUUAUUGAAUACCUACAUGAUUUUUAAGUAUUUAAAUCGGACAUUUUUAAUGUUUUUCGUUGCUGUGAAGUAUAAAAAGUAUAUUAUUUAAUAUUAAUAUAUUUCAGAAAAACAUCAAUAUUUAAUGCCCNUGUCAGAAGUUAUCUAACAUUUGAUUUCGUUACAAACACCGUGUUUAUAUUGGAUGUCUACAGUCAUGGAUACUUUGAAUAUUGCUUGUAUCGUAUUUACACCUAUUUAUAAAAUGUGUACAAACGGUACCGCGGAAAAAUAAUCACAGAAAUUUGGUCCCCGGAAAUAACCCAGUGAAAAAAUUACCAUGGAAAGAUACCUAAUCCCAUAUUACAUCUUGCAAAAUUAUAAUG
RNAcentral lists this unclassified non-coding RNA (514 nucleotides) under Diuraphis noxia (Russian wheat aphid). RNAcentral describes it as "uncharacterized LOC107164099, transcript variant X1". Lineage: Eukaryota; Metazoa; Arthropoda; Insecta; Hemiptera; Aphididae. The record is from RNAcentral.